CCCUUAGAUGUUCUGGGCCGCACACGCACUACACUGAAGGAGGCAACGUGUUUGCCUGAUUCGAAAGAAUUGGGUAACCCCCUAAUCUCUUUCGUGCUGGGGAUUGAGGUUUGCAAUUAUCCUCCAUGAACGAGGAAUUCCCAGUAAGUGCAAGUCAUAAGCUUGCGCUGACUACGUCCCUGCCCUUUGUACACACCGCCCGUCGCUACUACCGAUUGAAUGAUUUAGUGAGGACUUCGGACUGGGACCGAUGCGGCUUUCGGGCUGCGUCGGUAUUCUGGAAAGAUGUCCAAACUGUAUCAUUUAGAGGAAGUAAAANUCGUAACA
RNAcentral lists this ribosomal RNA (327 nucleotides) under uncultured eukaryote. RNAcentral's name for it is "partial 18S ribosomal RNA". It matches the Rfam family "Eukaryotic small subunit ribosomal RNA", at positions 1470 to 1796 of the family's 1831-position model. The record is from RNAcentral.